AUUGAACGCUGGCGGCAGGCCUAACACAUGCAAGUCGAGCGGAUGAAGGGAGCUUGCUCCUGGAUUCAGCGGCGGACGGGUGAGUAAUGCCUAGGAAUCUGCCUGGUAGUGGGGGAUAACGUCCGGAAACGGGCCCUAAUACCGCAUACGUCCUGAGGGAGAAAGGGGGGGAUCUUCGGACCUCACGCUAUCAGAUGAGCCUAGGUCGGAUUAGCUAGUUGGUGGGGUAAAGGCCUACCAAGGCGACGAUCCGUAACUGGUCUGAGAGGAUGAUCAGUCACACUGGAACUGAGACACGGUCCAGACUCCUACGGGAGGCAGCAGUGGGGAAUAUUGGACAAUGGGCGAAAGCCUGAUCCAGCCAUGCCGCGUGUGUGAAGAAGGUCUUCGGAUUGUAAAGCACUUUAAGUUGGGAGGAAGGGCAGUAAGUUAAUACCUUGCUGUUUUGACGUUACCAACAGAAUAAGCACCGGCUAACUUCGUG
RNAcentral lists this ribosomal RNA (484 nucleotides) under uncultured bacterium. RNAcentral describes it as "partial 16S ribosomal RNA". It matches the Rfam family "Bacterial small subunit ribosomal RNA", at positions 30 to 507 of the family's 1533-position model. The record is from RNAcentral.